Molecule: unclassified non-coding RNA, 347 nt
Filed under: soil metagenome
Description: partial contains 5.8S ribosomal RNA, internal transcribed spacer 2, and large subunit ribosomal RNA
Rfam family: 5.8S ribosomal RNA (bases 1-120)
Source: RNAcentral
GAUGAAGAACGCAGUGAAAUGCGAUAAUUAAUGUGAAUUGCAGAAUUCAGUGAAUCAUCGAGUCUUUGAACGCACAUUGCGCCCCCUGGUAUUCCGGGGGGCAUGCCUGUCCGAGCGUCAUUGCUGCCCUCAAGCACGGCUUAUGUGUUGGGCUUCCGUCCCUGGCAACGGGGACGGGCCCAAAAGGCAGUGGCGGCACCAUGUCUGGUCCUCGAGCGUAUGGGGCUUUGUCACCCGCUCCCGUAGGUCCAGCUGGCAGCUAGCCUCGCAACCAAUCUUUUUAACCAGGUUGACCUCGGAUCAGGUAGGGAUACCCGCUGAACUUAAGCAUAUCAAUAAGCGGAGGA